RNAcentral lists this ribosomal RNA (491 nucleotides) under uncultured bacterium. RNAcentral describes it as "partial 16S ribosomal RNA". It matches the Rfam family "Bacterial small subunit ribosomal RNA", at positions 29 to 507 of the family's 1533-position model. The record is from RNAcentral.
AGUGAACGCUGGCGGUAGGCCUAACACAUGCAAGUCGAACGGCAGCACAGUAAGAGCUUGCUCUUACGGGUGGCGAGUGGCGGACGGGUGAGGAAUACAUCGGAAUCUACUUUUUCGUGGGGGAUACGUAGGGAAACUUACGCUAAUACCGCAUACGACCUACGGGUGAAAGCAGGGGGUCUUCGGACCUUGCGCGAUUGAAUGAGCCGAUGUCGGAUUAGCUAGUUGGCGGGGUAAAGGCCCACCAAGGCGACGAUCCGUAGCUGGUCUGAGAGGAUGAUCAGCCACACUGGAACUGAGACACGGACCAGACGCCUACGGGAGGCAGCAGUGGGGAAUAUUGGACAAUGGGCGCAAGCCUGAUCCAGCCAUACCGCGUGGGUGAAGAAGGCCUUCGGGUUGUAAAGACCUUUUGUUGGGAAAGAAAAGCAGCAGGUUAAUACCCCGCUGUUCUGACGGUACCCAAAGAAUAAGCACCGGCUAACUUCGUG